GAUCGAAGGUCCCAGCGGAGAUGAACUAUGUCUUUGACGACUCGUCUCUAACACUAUGAACAAUACCUUCGUAUACUGAUGUUUGGCCGAACCAAACAACGCCUCGGAAUUUCUCAUUUCGGUGCGUUUAGAACCCCUCGGCUAUACCUGU
This is a small nucleolar RNA of Andrographis paniculata, 151 nucleotides long. RefSeq annotates it as small nucleolar RNA snoR145. NCBI's taxonomy places the organism in Eukaryota, Viridiplantae, Streptophyta, Magnoliopsida, Lamiales, Acanthaceae. The record is from RefSeq and is a predicted model, not a curated record. The transcript has a single exon.